Molecule: ribosomal RNA, 253 nt
Filed under: uncultured bacterium
Lineage: Bacteria
Description: partial 16S ribosomal RNA
Rfam family: Bacterial small subunit ribosomal RNA
Source: RNAcentral
UACAGAGGUCUCAAGCGUUGUUCGGAUUCAUUGGGCGUAAAGGGCGCGUAGGCGGCCUGAUAAGUAGGGGGUGAAAUCCUGCGGCUUAACCGCAGGGCUGCCUUCUAAACUGUCAGGCUUGAGCACAGUAGAGGCAGGUGGAAUUCCCGGUGUAGCGGUGGAAUGCGUAGAGAUCGGGAAGAACAUCAGUGGCGAAGGCGGCCUGCUGGGCUGUUGCUGACGCUGAGGCGCGACAGCGUGGGGAGCAAACAGG